Molecule: ribosomal RNA, 448 nt
Filed under: uncultured soil bacterium
Lineage: Bacteria
Description: bacterial SSU rRNA
Rfam family: Bacterial small subunit ribosomal RNA
Source: RNAcentral
AGAACGAACGCUGGCGGCAUGCCUAAUACAUGCAAGUCGAACGAACACUUCGGUGUUAGUGGCGCACGGGUGCGUAACGCGUGGGAAUCUGCCCUUGGGUUCGGAAUAACAGUUGGAAACGACUGCUAAUACCGGAUGAUAUCGAAAGAUCAAAGAUUUAUCGCCCAGGGAUGAGCCCGCGUAGGAUUAGCUAGUUGGUGAGGCAAAGGCUCACCAAGGCGACGAUCCUUAGCUGGUCUGAGAGGAUGAUCAGCCACACUGGGACUGAGACACGGCCCAGACUCCUACGGGAGGCAGCAGUAGGGAAUAUUGGACAAUGGGCGCAAGCCUGAUCCAGCAAUGCCGCGUGAGUGAUGAAGGCCUUAGGGUUGUAAAGCUACUUUUACCCGAGAUGAUAAUGACAGUAUCGGAAGAAUAAGCCCCGGCUAACCUCCGUACCAGCAGCCGC